Molecule: ribosomal RNA, 799 nt
Filed under: uncultured bacterium
Lineage: Bacteria
Description: bacterial SSU rRNA
Rfam family: Bacterial small subunit ribosomal RNA
Source: RNAcentral
GGGGAAAAGCGGCGGCUAUACAUGCAGUCGAACGAUAUGUUUUCUUCGGAAGAACGAGUGGCACACGGGGGAGUACCUCGUACGCAAUCUACCUCUAUCAGGGGGAUACUCUCGGAAAACUGUGGAUAAUCCCGCAUAAUAUACAUGAAUGGCAUCGUUUAUGUAUUACAGUUACGGAGGAUAAAGAUGAGCGUGCAUCUGAUUACCUAGCUGGCGAGGUAACGGCUCACCAAGGCGACGAUCAGUAGAGGGGCGUGAGAUCGUGAUCCCCCGCACGGCUACUGACACACGGACCCGACUCCUACGGGAAGGCCUCAGUAAGGAAUAUUGGUCAAUGCGUGGAAGCCUGAACCAGCCAUGCCGCGUGCGGCAAGAAUGCCCUCUGGGUUGUUUACCGCUUUUGUCAGGUAACAAUGGACGGGAUUUAUCCUGUUAUGGACGGUACCUGAAGAAUAAGCACCGGCUAACUCCGUGCCAGCAGCCGCGGUAUUACGGGAAGGGCAAGUGCUACUCGGUUUUAUUGGUCGUAAAGGGCAUCUAAGCGGUUUUUAUUGUUCUUAGUUAUAUCCUUGGGCUUAACCUGAGAAACAGUUUUAAAACGUAGAAACUAGAGUCUAAGAGAGGAUAAUGGAAUUUCUAAUGUAGAGUUGGAAUUUUAAGAUAUUACAAGGACCGACAAUACGCGAAUGCGAUUAUCUGACUUAUAACUGACGCUGAAGUGCGAAAGCAUGGGUAUCGAAAGACAUGAUAGACCUCUGUAGUCCAUGGCGUCAACGUUGAAUGCUCUCUGUUGGAUUUU